ACCCGCAGUAGGGGCCUUUGGCCCCCAAGGGCACGUGUCGUAGGUGCAGCGACCGCGGCGGACAAGUCGCGGGCACCUCCUUGGAGUUUAAUUCCCACCGAGCGUCGGGUAGAAUCCUUUGCAGAUGACUUAAAUAUGCGACGGGGUAUUGUAAGUGGCAGAGUGGCCUUACUGCCACGAUCCACUGAGAUUCAGCCCUUUGUCGCUUCGAUUCGU
RNAcentral lists this non-coding RNA (216 nucleotides) under Gossypium arboreum. Its description in RNAcentral is "Eukaryotic large subunit ribosomal RNA". It matches the Rfam family "Eukaryotic large subunit ribosomal RNA", at positions 3185 to 3401 of the family's 3401-position model. The record is from Rfam by way of RNAcentral. Lineage: Eukaryota; Viridiplantae; Streptophyta; Magnoliopsida; Malvales; Malvaceae.